GGUUAGUGCAAUGGCAUAAGCCAGCUUGACUGCGAGCGUGACGGCGCGAGCAGGUGCGAAAGCAGGUCAUAGUGAUCCGGUGGUUCUGAAUGGAAGGGCCAUCGCUCAACGGAUAAAAGGUACUCCGGGGAUAACAGGCUGAUACCGCCCAAGAGUUCAUAUCGACGGCGGUGUUUGGCACCUCGAUGUCGGCUCAUCACAUCCUGGGGCUGAAGUAGGUCCCAAGGGUAUGGCUGUUCGCCAUUUAAAGUGGUACGCGAGCUGGGUUUAGAACGUCGUGAGACAG
RNAcentral lists this ribosomal RNA (286 nucleotides) under Escherichia coli. Its description in RNAcentral is "partial 23S ribosomal RNA". It matches the Rfam family "Bacterial large subunit ribosomal RNA", at positions 2344 to 2629 of the family's 2925-position model. Lineage: Bacteria; Pseudomonadati; Pseudomonadota; Gammaproteobacteria; Enterobacterales; Enterobacteriaceae. The record is from RNAcentral.